AGCGACAGAGGGCGCACCAGUGAUGGAGGAGAAAAAUCCUUUCACUUGUGGGGCGGCCACUGUUAGGAUCAAGUCAAUGAUUUUCCAGGUGGUUGCCCAAAGGGAGAAGAAACUCAGGAUUUCUGGUGGGUCCUGGUGGGGAGACAGAUGAUCAGCCACCUGCCACGGGGCUGGGUCUUCUCCGGAAUCAGGAAACCAAUGGAUGUCCAAGACCCCAAGGACCAAUGAGCCCAAAAGUUACAUUUCACGAGACUGAUGCAUGGAGUGAACACAAAACUCCUGAUACCUGGACGGACCGUGUCAGAAUGAUUCGUGAGGGUAAACAAAGGCCCCACUUGCUUACUCCUAAAACCACACCUACAUGGUUCUCAGAAACAACCCAGUAAUUCAUUUCGAGACUCUGCUCCGCCUCAUUCCUUAGAAAUCCUCCCCCAAUAAACUUUGUGCUAGGCUGUACAAAAUGUCAGCCAUGUGCAAUCGAAAAAACAGCGACUGCCUAAGGAAAACAAAUGUAGCUAACACAGGGGUGGAAAACCUAAGAAAAACUCAGGGUCACACGCGCUCCCCAGCCCUCCCCGCCCCCCCCAAGAUUAGUGGACAAGAUGGCGGAGCCCUGCAACGUGGGAAAGAGAUGGCGCAGCCAGACUGCGGUACAAAGGCACACUAGCUCUGGGAGUCUUCGUUCGCUCCGGCGGCAAGAGACCUCCCCACCCUGAGCGCCCUUUGCAAAGUGUGCCCGACCCGCAAAGAACCCUAGGCUCGCCUCGGAACGCGCACUGGGGUCUCACAGGGACUCAGACCCCUUUCACGCGACGACCUGGCCGCCUCGCCGCAGCCCUUGGGCACCUUCUCACAGAAGCGACCCAGAUCCCAAAGCCCAAACGCGAGAACGGAAUGAAGCCAAAAGGUUCUCAUCCAUAUGAGCAUGGGCUUCAUGAUGCUGGCCCUGACCCUGUGCCUCAUCCUCCUCCCCACCAUGGGCCUCUCCUUCCGGCCAGUGUUCCGACGCCUUACUAAGGUCGACCUUGUCUUCAGUUUUCUCAGCUUCAGCAUUGGUAAGUGUCGGGUUGGGGAA
Molecule: long non-coding RNA, 1075 nt
Filed under: Neogale vison (American mink)
Lineage: Eukaryota; Metazoa; Chordata; Mammalia; Carnivora; Mustelidae
Description: Neovison vison (American mink) lncRNA (ENSNVIG00000017282.1)
Source: RNAcentral